GGAGGCAUAGCUCAGCUGGUUAGAGCGCACGGUUCACAUCCGUGAGGUCGCGGGUUCGAGUCUCUCUGUCUCCA
RNAcentral lists this transfer RNA (74 nucleotides) under Ruminococcus sp. RNAcentral describes it as "tRNA-Val". It matches the Rfam family "tRNA". Rfam says of the family: Transfer RNA (tRNA) molecules are approximately 80 nucleotides in length. Lineage: Bacteria; Bacillati; Bacillota; Clostridia; Eubacteriales; Oscillospiraceae. The record is from RNAcentral. RNAcentral also lists the same sequence under 1 other name.